This is a long non-coding RNA of Pungitius pungitius (ninespine stickleback), 669 nucleotides long. RefSeq lists it as uncharacterized. The record is from RefSeq and is a predicted model, not a curated record. The transcript is spliced from 4 exons. Lineage: Eukaryota; Metazoa; Chordata; Actinopteri; Perciformes; Gasterosteidae.
AGGACCAAUCAGAGACCAGCUACAGACCAUAUGAUCAACCAGGGUGAAACUGAAGACGGACAUUAUGCUUCUCUUCUUCAUGGUGAUUCUUGUCUCUAUGAAACAAUCAAAGGCUCUGAAGAACGUAAACAAGGGACGAAUGAUGAACCAGAGGAGAGCGAUUACUCAAAUGUGACGAGGUAAACAGUUGCAGGUACUUCAAGUACAACGGACCAUGUAGUACAAUAUGAAUAAAACAUCUGCAUGGACAGAACCAGGGGAACAGAUGACGACAUAAAAAACCACAUCUUUGUCUCUUUGAGUAAUUAUUGUGUAACUUCUUCUUUCCUGAUAUGAGACAGUAUUUUGUAGUUGAUGAGCAGAUCUUUCAAAGGCUUUACUUGGUGAAAAUAGUCUAAUUACAUGUAUACUUAUUCAAAUGUUGGUAUUGAGUCUUUUUUUUCCUCAGUCACUUUGUUUUUUUAAAGCUUUUGUAGAAAACUUUGACUGGAGGCUGGUUUGAAAAGCAGAAAAAAGCAGUUUGACGUCUUUGAGCUUCAGUGCGUUGGUGAUAUUAUUCAAUAUGAAGUCAUCUUCUCUUUUACUUCUGAUUAAAAAAAAGCUUUAUGCAUUUUAAACAUUUUUAACCUGUUAUUGAACUAAAUAUUUAUGUUCAUUUUUUUAGUUUUU